CCCCCCCAUGUAAGAGAACAUCGGGGACGCCCCACACUUGGGGGUCUGCCCCACACCUGGAGGUCCCACCCCACACUUGUGGGUCUGCCCCAUAGAUCCAGAGCUUGCCCCAUAGCUAUGUACCCACCCCAUAAGCCCAUUAGGACCCCAUGUAACAGCCCAACAGUUACGGGACCCCCACUUGUGGGUCUGCCCCACACUUGGGGGUCCCACCCCACACUUGUGGGUCUGCCCCAUAGACCUGGAGCCCCUUCCCCCCUAAAUUCCUUAGGAACUCAUGUAACAGCCCAGCAGUUAUGGGACCCCCACUUGUGGGUCUGCCCCACACUUGGGGGUCCCACCCCACAUUUGUAGGUCUCGCCCCACACUUGUGGGUCUGCCCCAUAGAUCUGGAGCCCCUCCCCCCUCUAUAAAUCCCUUAGGACCCCAUGGAACAGCCCAACGGUUACAGGACCCCCCAUGUGUGGGUCUGCCCCACACCUGGAGGUCCCACCCCACACUUGUGGGUCUGCCCCAUAGAUCCGGAGCUUGCCCCAUAGCUAUGUACCCGCCCCAUAAGCCCAUUAGGACCCCAUGUAACAGCCCAACAGUUACGGGACCCCCACUUAUAGGUCCUGCCCCACACUUGGGGGUCUGCCCCAUAGACCUGGAACCCCCCUCCUCCCCCCUAAGUUCAUUAGGACCCCCACGUAACAGCCCAGCAGUUACGGGACCCCCACUUAUAGGUCCUGCCCCACACUUGGGGGUCCCGGCCCCACACUUGUGGGUCUGCCCCA
This 776-nucleotide long non-coding RNA is filed under the name Numida meleagris (helmeted guineafowl). Its description in RNAcentral is "lncRNA (ENSNMEG00000002689.1)". Lineage: Eukaryota; Metazoa; Chordata; Aves; Galliformes; Numididae. The record is from RNAcentral.